UAGGGAAUCUUCCACAAUGGGCGCAAGCCUGAUGGAGCAACACCGCGUGAGUGAAGAAGGGUUUCGGCUCGUAAAGCUCUGUUGUUAAAGAAGAACACGUAUGAGAGUAACUGUUCAUACGUUGACGGUAUUUAACCAGAAAGUCACGGCUAACUACGUGCCAGCAGCCGCGGUAAUACGUAGGUGGCAAGCGUUAUCCGGAUUUAUUGGGCGUAAAGAGAGUGCAGGCGGUUUUCUAAGUCUGAUGUGAAAGCCUUCGGCUUAACCGGAGAAGUGCAUCGGAAACUGGAUAACUUGAGUGCAGAAGAGGGUAGUGGAACUCCAUGUGUAGCGGUGGAAUGCGUAGAUAUAUGGAAGAACACCAGUGGCGAAGGCGGCUACCUGGUCUGCAACUGACGCUGAGACUCGAAAGCAUGGGUAGCGAACAGGAUUAGAUACCCUGGUAGUCCAUGCCGUAAACGAUGAGUGCUAGGUGUUGGAGGGUUUCCGCCCUUCAGUGCCGGAGCUAACGCAUUAAACACUCCGCCUGGGGAGUACGACCGCAGAGGUUG
Molecule: ribosomal RNA, 551 nt
Filed under: uncultured bacterium
Lineage: Bacteria
Description: bacterial SSU rRNA
Rfam family: Bacterial small subunit ribosomal RNA
Source: RNAcentral